UCAGGCCUACGGGAGGCAGCAGUGGGGAAUAUUGGGCAAUGGGCGCAAGCCUGACCCAGCAACGCCGCGUGAAGGAAGAAGGCUUUCGGGUUGUAACCUUCUUUUGACAGGGAAGAGCAGAAGACGGUACCUGUCGAAUAAGCCACGGCUAACUACGUGCCAGCAGCCGCGGUAAUACGUAGGUGGCAAGCGUUGUCCGGAUUUACUGGGUGUAAAGGGCGUGUAGCCGGGCCGGUAAGUCAGAUGUGAAAUCCCAAGGCUCAACCUUGGAACUGCAUUUGAAACUGUUGGUCU
This 294-nucleotide ribosomal RNA is filed under the name uncultured bacterium. Its description in RNAcentral is "partial 16S ribosomal RNA". It matches the Rfam family "Bacterial small subunit ribosomal RNA", at positions 333 to 642 of the family's 1533-position model. The record is from RNAcentral.